Chelonia mydas (Green sea turtle) is the source of this 441-nucleotide long non-coding RNA. RefSeq lists it as uncharacterized. The transcript has 5 exons. NCBI's taxonomy places the organism in Eukaryota, Metazoa, Chordata, Testudines, Cheloniidae. The record is from RefSeq and is a predicted model, not a curated record.
CUCUUUCCCUACAAGACGCUCUGCCGGUCUCCAGCUUUUACUUCUCAGUGGUCUGCUCUGGCAUGCUUCUAAGGAUGUCAGAAUCGCCAGGAUCAAUGAUAGCCAGUGUGCACACUCAGUAGUAUUUUCCACAUGCUGUACCCAAUUCAAUAUUGUUGCCGUUGUAGUGAUGCAUACCAGUCUUUGCCAACAUAGCAUGGUACUCAAUCUCUGAUUUUCUCAAAGCUGGACAGUUGUUGGCGAGGAUGACCAACUUAGCUUUGCCCUGCCGAAUCAUUUUGCUGGGAUGUGGAAAGACUUACCCUUCAAAGAUGAAAUCCACCUCCAUACAAAGGUCCUGCAUAAGGCACUGAACAACACUAAGUCCCAUUUAGGCCCUGUGCUGAGAGGUCAGUGGUGCAAAGGGGCGUUGCAAAUGCCCUCCACAUUGGAGUGAAUUUC